This is a long non-coding RNA of Lactuca sativa (garden lettuce), 571 nucleotides long. RefSeq lists it as uncharacterized. NCBI's taxonomy places the organism in Eukaryota, Viridiplantae, Streptophyta, Magnoliopsida, Asterales, Asteraceae. The record is from RefSeq and is a predicted model, not a curated record.
UUAACAUUAUAUCUUUCAAAUUCUAUUUUUGUUAUUCAAUUUCAGAAUUGUCUUUCACUCUCUUCUGCAAAACAUUUCUUAGUCUGUGGCCUUUAAGAACUUGUGUUCAAAUUAUAUUAUAUCUUACUAUGAUACAUGAUUGGUAUUUCAGUAUUAGUUGUAUGAAGAAUAUUUCAAAUGGAAGUCCUCCCACGGCUAUGAAAGUCUCUAAAGAAAGCUCGCAGUCGGUCGAUCAAUCUACAAUUACCUUUGGAAAGGAUGUAGUUCAUUGUCGACAUAUGUGGAGUUGGAAGGAAGACAUUCGAAAGUGUGUCUCACUACUUUCCAUCUUUAAUGGUUAUUGCAAAGGCACAUCAAAUCAAGGUUUAUGGUUUCAAAUUAUUAAGAAGUCGUUGCCUAUUGUAUCUUCUACAUUGAAGUCACAUCUAGUUUAUGCGUUUUGGGUUUUAUUCAUCUUAGCGUCAGAUGAAUGUUUUGCAAUUGUUUAAAGUAUAUUAUUCUUUAUAUUGUGGAAUUGUCUAUUCCUAGUGAUGUUAAUGCUGCUAUACUGUUGAGUUCAUCCUUUUAGAUA